UGAGUGACACGUGUGUUAACCUGCCUGUUAAGACUGGGAUAACUCCGGGAAACCGGGGCUAAUACCGGAUGCUUGAUUGAACCGCAUGGUUCAAUCAUAAAAGGUGGCUUUUAGCUACCACUUGCAGAUGGACCCGCGGCGCAUUAGCUAGUUGGUGAGGUAACGGCUCACCAAGGCGACGAUGCGUAGCCGACCUGAGAGGGUGAUCGGCCACACUGGGACUGAGACACGGCCCAGACUCCUACGGGAGGCAGCAGUAGGGAAUCUUCCGCAAUGGACGAAAGUCUGACGGAGCAACGCCGCGUGAGUGAUGAAGGUUUUCGGAUCGUAAAACUCUGUUGUUAGGGAAGAACAAGUACCGUUCGAAUAGGGCGGCACCUUGACGGUACCUAACCAGAAAGCCACGGCUAACUACGUGCCAGCAGCCGCGGUAAUACGUAGGUGGCAAGCGUUGUCCGGAAUUAUUGGGCGUAAAGCGCGCGCAGGCGGUUUCUUAAGUCUGAUGUGAAAGCCCCCGGCUCAACCGGGGAGGGUCAUUGGAAACUGGGGAACUUGAGUGCAGAAGAGGAGAGUGGAAUUCCACGUGUAGCGGUGAAAUGCGUAGAGAUGUGGAGGAACACCAGUGGCGAAGGCGACUCUCUGGUCUGUAACUGACGCUGAGGCGCGAAAGCGUGGGGAGCGAACAGGAUUAGAUACCCUGGUAGUCCACGCCGUAAACGAUGAGUGCUAAGUGUUUAGAGGGUUCCGCCCUUUUAGUGCUGCAGCCAAACGCAUUAAGCACUCCGCCUGGGGAGUACGUCGCAAAGACUGAAACUCAAAGGAAUUGAC
Molecule: ribosomal RNA, 828 nt
Filed under: Bacillus licheniformis
Lineage: Bacteria; Bacillati; Bacillota; Bacilli; Caryophanales; Bacillaceae
Description: bacterial SSU rRNA
Rfam family: Bacterial small subunit ribosomal RNA
Source: RNAcentral